CGGGGGGCAGCAGUAGGGAAUCUUCGGCAAUGGACGCAAGUCUGACCGAGCAACGCCGCGUGAGUGAAGAAGGUUUUCGGAUCGUAAAACUCUGUUGUUAGAGAAGAACAAGGAUGAGAGUGGAAAGUUCAUCCCUUGACGGUAUCUAACCAGAAAGCCACGGCUAACUACGUGCCAGCAGCCGCGGUAAUACGUAGGUGGCAAGCGUUGUCCGGAUUUAUUGGGCGUAAAGCGAGCGCAGGCGGUCUUUUAAGUCUGAUGUGAAAGCCCCCGGCUUAACCGGGGAGGGUCAUUGGAAACUGGGAGACUUGAGUGCAGAAGAGGAAAGCGGAAUUCCAUGUGUAGCGGUGAAAUGCGUAGAUAUAUGGAGGAACACCAGUGGCGAAGGCGGCUUUCUGGUCUGUAACUGACGCUGAGGCUCGAAAGCGUGGGGAGCAAACAGGAUUAGAUACCCCCGU
This 458-nucleotide ribosomal RNA is filed under the name uncultured Enterococcus sp. RNAcentral's name for it is "bacterial SSU rRNA". It matches the Rfam family "Bacterial small subunit ribosomal RNA", at positions 342 to 791 of the family's 1533-position model. Lineage: Bacteria; Bacillati; Bacillota; Bacilli; Lactobacillales; Enterococcaceae. The record is from RNAcentral.